This is a long non-coding RNA of Hirundo rustica (Barn swallow), 627 nucleotides long. RefSeq lists it as uncharacterized. The transcript is spliced from 3 exons. The record is from RefSeq and is a predicted model, not a curated record. Lineage: Eukaryota; Metazoa; Chordata; Aves; Passeriformes; Hirundinidae.
UGAACCGCUGCUUUUCAGCUCCGGCUGAAAAGGAGCCGGCGCGGGGCCUCGCCUCUUAAUUGCGGAGGAGGGGGAACAUGGAAAAGCCUCUGGCUGCUGCUAAUGCAGGAGAAAGCGGCUGCUCCGGAGGCACAGCCUUCUCCAGGGCAUCCUCCCAGCGGGGUGGGACCCGACCCGGAGCGCUCGUCCUGGGAAUGCGCCAGCGGCGAGGGCCGGCGGCGGAGCUGGAGAGCUGGAUCCCGCUGAGAGGAUGAAAACAUGGGGCUCAAGUUAUCCUGCCUGAAAGGCCUGAAGAUGUGCGUGAGCAGCGGCAGCGACGGGACCCCGGUGGCAUCGUCGGGACAGAAGCACCUGCACGUGCCCUCCAUCAUCGUCACACCUCCCACGCCCACGGGGACCACGCUGUCCCGCGAGGGGCGGCGCGGCGAGGGCCCGUCACCCUGCAGCCAGUGCUGAGAGGGGACGCGGGGGACGCCCGGCCCCGGCAGGACCCGUCCCCGCUCCGUCGGGAUGGAGCCACGGCCUCCGGGGCACGGCUGGGCCGGAUGCGGCUCCCAGGGACGCACGGGGCGCCCACACGGGUGGGUUUGGACGCUGGGGAUCGGGGGUUUGUCCCUGUUCCUAACA